Molecule: ribosomal RNA, 102 nt
Filed under: Lingulaulax polyedra
Lineage: Eukaryota; Dinophyceae; Gonyaulacales; Lingulodiniaceae
Description: Lingulodinium polyedra partial Bacterial large subunit ribosomal RNA
Source: RNAcentral
AAGCACAGACAGGCGGUUGGCAUCUUCUUCAAAGGAAUUCCUAGUGCUGAGGAAAGCCAAGAGACAACCAUCUUUCUGGAUUCUUCUUUCUUGUCUCUUGCU